CUUCCUCUUCUUUUCCCCCCUCCACUGACUCUAUUCUAAAUCCUUUCACUACACUUAUCCUUCAUCCAAACAUCACCUUACCUCCCUUAAUUCCUUCUUCACUCUCCCAAAAAUUCACCAAUUUUGUUACUUUCAGAAAUUUCCCAAACCCUUUUGCCCAAAUUUCUUGACCUUCUCUAUUAUCUUUGAAACCUUUCUUUCCUCCUCCUAUACCACUCCAAAUUAUUGAAGAUGAUGAUAAUCCUAGUGACAGAUAUGAUAUUCCUAUUGCAGAGUUAAUCCCCAGAAGGUUAAGGUCCAAGUUCCCAAGAAAACCCC
Molecule: long non-coding RNA, 318 nt
Filed under: Capsicum annuum
Lineage: Eukaryota; Viridiplantae; Streptophyta; Magnoliopsida; Solanales; Solanaceae
Description: long non-coding RNA (CANN_LNC016877)
Source: RNAcentral